Molecule: ribosomal RNA, 442 nt
Filed under: uncultured bacterium
Lineage: Bacteria
Description: partial 16S ribosomal RNA
Rfam family: Bacterial small subunit ribosomal RNA
Source: RNAcentral
GACUACGGGAGGCAGCAGUGGGGAAUAUUGCACAAUGGGGGAAACCCUGAUGCAGCAACGCCGCGUGAGUGAGGAAGUAUUUCGGUAUGUAAAGCUCUAUCAGCAGGGAAUAGAAAAGAAGGUACCUGAAAAAGAAGCCCCGGCUAACUACGUGCCAGCAGCCGCGGUAAUACGUAGGGGGCAAGCGUUAUCCGGAUUUACUGGGUGUAAAGGGAGCGUAGACGGAAAGGCAAGUCAGAAGUGAAAACCCAAGGCUCAACCAUGAGACUGCUUUUGACACUGUCAAACUAGAGUACGGGAGAAGUAAGAGGCAUUCCUAGUGUAGCGGUGAAAUGCGUAGAUAUUAGGAGGAACACCAGUGGCGAAGGCGUCUUACUGGACCGAAACUGACGUUGAGGCUCGAAAGCGUGGGGAGCGAACAGGAUUAGAUACACUUGUAGUC